CCCUUAGACGUUCUGGGCCGCACGCGCGCUACACUGACCAGUGCAACAAGCAUCCGUCCUUGGCCGACAGGCUCGGGCAAUCUUUGAACGCUGAUCGUGAUGGGGAUAGACUUUUGCAAUUUUUGGUCUUCAACGAGGAAUUCCUAGUAAACGCAAGUCAUCAACUUGCAUUGAUUACGUCCCUGCCCUUUGUACACACCGCCCGUCGCACCUACCGAUUGAAUGGUCCGGUGAAGCCUCCGGAUUGGCGUGCACCCUCGGGUGCUGCCGAGAAGUUGGCUAAACCUUACCAUUUAGAGGAAGGUGAAGUCGUANCA
Molecule: ribosomal RNA, 317 nt
Filed under: uncultured eukaryote
Lineage: Eukaryota
Description: partial 18S ribosomal RNA
Rfam family: Eukaryotic small subunit ribosomal RNA
Source: RNAcentral